RNAcentral lists this unclassified non-coding RNA (46 nucleotides) under synthetic construct. The record is from RNAcentral.
GGGACAAGCGCAAGGUCAUUCGCAAGAGUGGCCUUGCGCUUGUCCC